CUGCCCCUGACUCUGGGAUAAGCCCGGGAAACUGGGUCUAAUACCGGAUAUGACAUCGUUUCGCAUGGGAUGGUGUGGAAAGUUUUUCGGUUGGGGAUGGACUCGCGGCCUAUCAGCUUGUUGGUGGGGUAAUGGCCUACCAAGGCGACGACGGGUAGCCGGCCUGAGAGGGCGACCGGCCACACUGGGACUGAGACACGGCCCAGACUCCUACGGGAGGCAGCAGUGGGGAAUAUUGCGCAAUGGGCGAAAGCCUGACGCAGCGACGCCGCGUGGGGGAUGACGGCCUUCGGGUUGUAAACCUCUUUCAGCAGGGACGAAGUUGACGUGUACCUGCAGAAGAAGCGCCGGCUAACUACGUGCCAGCAGCCGCGGUAAUACGUAGGGCGCAAGCGUUGUCCGGAAUUAUUGGGCGUAAAGAGCUCGUAGGUGGCUUGUCACGUCGGGUGUGAAAGCUUGGGGCUUAACUCCAGGUCUGCAUUCGAUACGGGCUGGCUAGAGGUAGGUAGGGGAGAACGGAA
RNAcentral lists this ribosomal RNA (521 nucleotides) under Streptosporangium sp. SAUK6339. Its description in RNAcentral is "bacterial SSU rRNA". It matches the Rfam family "Bacterial small subunit ribosomal RNA", at positions 126 to 666 of the family's 1533-position model. The record is from RNAcentral. Lineage: Bacteria; Bacillati; Actinomycetota; Actinomycetes; Streptosporangiales; Streptosporangiaceae.